RNAcentral lists this ribosomal RNA (460 nucleotides) under uncultured bacterium. Its description in RNAcentral is "partial 16S ribosomal RNA". It matches the Rfam family "Bacterial small subunit ribosomal RNA", at positions 338 to 795 of the family's 1533-position model. The record is from RNAcentral.
CCUACGGGAGGCAGCAGUGAGGAAUAUUGGUCAAUGGACGAGAGUCUGAACCAGCCAAGUAGCGUGAAGGAUGACUGCCCUAUGGGUUGUAAACUUCUUUUAUAAAGGAAUAAAACGAGGCACGUGUGCCUUUUUGCAUGUACUUUAUGAAUAAGGAUCGGCUAACUCCGUGCCAGCAGCCGCGGUAAUACGGAGGAUCCGAGCGUUAUCCGGAUUUAGUGGGUUUAAAGGGAGCGUAGAUGGGUUGGUAAGUCAGGUGUGAAAGUUUGCGGCUCAACCGUAAAAUUGCAAUUGAUACUGGCAGUCUUGAGUACAGUUGAGGUAGGCGGAAUUCGUGGUGUAGCGGUGAAAUGCUUAGAUAUCACGAAGAACCCCGAUUGCGAAGGCAGCUUACUAAACUGUGACUGACAUUGAUGCUCGAAAGUGUGGGUAUCAAACAGGAUUAGAUACCCCUGUAGUC